Molecule: non-coding RNA, 115 nt
Organism: Novosphingobium sp. AAP93
Lineage: Bacteria; Pseudomonadati; Pseudomonadota; Alphaproteobacteria; Sphingomonadales; Sphingomonadaceae
Source: Rfam
CGCGUAUUUUGCGAUGGCGGAGCUCGACCGCCACGGCAGAUGAUGAUGGCGUUCAUCGACGCCCAUCGCGAGGACCUGGGUAUCGAGCCGAUCUGCCGUGAACUGGCGAUCGCCC